CGGACAUUGACCAAAGGACAAUCAGUUCAGGAUCAUUGUUUGACAAUGAUCAAAGACUCGGAUGAGCUUGAGAAGCUUAGUAUGUCCAAGCAUAAGGAAUUAUGAAUGGAUUUGAUCCUAUAGUUCUUUACUAGUUUAUAUGGACAGUUUAUAGUAAACUACUAUAUGAAUAAAAUGAUUGUACCUUGGUUGAGUUGGUGACUACUGAUGGGACCUUGAAGAGUUCAAGGGG
Molecule: long non-coding RNA, 232 nt
Filed under: Elaeis guineensis (African oil palm)
Lineage: Eukaryota; Viridiplantae; Streptophyta; Magnoliopsida; Arecales; Arecaceae
Description: long non-coding RNA (EGUI_LNC039904)
Source: RNAcentral